UGCCAGCCGCCGCGGUAAUACGGAGGGGGUUAGCGUUGUUCGGAAUUACUGGGCGUAAAGCGCGCGUAGGCGGUUUAGCAAGUUGAAGGUGAAAUCCCGGGGCCCAACCCCGGAACUGCCUCCAAAACUAUCAGUCUAGAGUUCGAGAGAGGUGAGUGGAAUUCCGAGUGUAGAGGUGAAAUUCGUAGAUAUUCGGAGGAACACCAGUGGCGAAGGCGGCUCACUGGCUCGAUACUGACGCUGAGGUUCGAAAGGGUGGGGAGCCAACAGGGAUAAAUU
This 279-nucleotide ribosomal RNA is filed under the name uncultured bacterium. RNAcentral describes it as "partial 16S ribosomal RNA". It matches the Rfam family "Bacterial small subunit ribosomal RNA", at positions 506 to 784 of the family's 1533-position model. The record is from RNAcentral.